UGAGGAAUAUUGGUCAAUGGGCGAGAGCCUGAACCAGCCAAGUAGCGUGCAGGAUGACGGCCCUAUGGGUUGUAAACUGCUUUUAUGUGGGGAUAAAGUGCGUGACGUGACAUGCAUUGCAGGUACCACAUGAAUAAGGACCGGCUAAUUCCGUGCCAGCAGCCGCGGUAAUACGGAAGGUCCGGGCGUUAUCCGGAUUUAUUGGGUUUAAAGGGAGCGCAGGCCGCCCGAUAAGCGUGUUGUGAAAUGUACCGGCUCAACCGGUGAGUUGCAGCGCGAACUGUCAGGCUUGAGUGCUCGGUAAGCAGGCGGAAUUCAUGGUGUAGCGGUGAAAUGCUUAGAUAUCAUGAGGAACUCCGAUUGCGAAGGCAGCUUGCUGCAGUGCGACUGACGCUUAGGCUCGAAGGUGCGGGUAUCAAACAGG
This 424-nucleotide ribosomal RNA is filed under the name Verrucomicrobiota bacterium. Its description in RNAcentral is "Verrucomicrobia bacterium partial 16S ribosomal RNA". It matches the Rfam family "Bacterial small subunit ribosomal RNA", at positions 355 to 776 of the family's 1533-position model. The record is from RNAcentral. Lineage: Bacteria; Pseudomonadati; Verrucomicrobiota.